This 148-nucleotide non-coding RNA is filed under the name Homo sapiens (human). The record is from Rfam by way of RNAcentral. Lineage: Eukaryota; Metazoa; Chordata; Mammalia; Primates; Hominidae.
GCCAGGCAUGGUGGUGCACGCCUGUAAUCCCAGCUACUCAGGAGGCUGAGGCAGGAGAAUCGCUUGAACCCAGGAGGCGGAGGUUGUAGUGAGCCGAGAUUGUGCCACUGCUCUCCAGCCUGGGUGACAGAGUGAGACUCUGUCUCAA